Molecule: ribosomal RNA, 305 nt
Filed under: uncultured bacterium
Lineage: Bacteria
Description: partial 16S ribosomal RNA
Rfam family: Bacterial small subunit ribosomal RNA
Source: RNAcentral
ACAGCAGUCGCCGCGGUAAUACGUAGGUGGCAAGCGUUGUCCGGAAUUAUUGGGCGUAAAGGGCUCGCAGGCGGUUUCUUAAGUCUGAUGUGAAAGCCCCCGGCUCAACCGGGGAGGGUCAUUGGAAACUGGGAAACUUGAGUGCAGAAGAGGAGAGUGGAAUUCCACGUGUAGCGGUGAAAUGCGUAGAGAUGUGGAGGAACACCAGUGGCGAAGGCGACUCUCUGGUCUGUAACUGACGCUGAGGAGCGAAAGCGUGGGGAGCGAACAGGAUUAGAUACCCCUGUAGUCCCUGUCUCUUAUAA